RNAcentral lists this unclassified non-coding RNA (343 nucleotides) under soil metagenome. Its description in RNAcentral is "partial contains 5.8S ribosomal RNA, internal transcribed spacer 2, and large subunit ribosomal RNA". The stretch from base 1 to 120 matches the Rfam family "5.8S ribosomal RNA", at positions 35 to 154 of the family's 154-position model. The record is from RNAcentral.
GAUGAAGAACGUAGUGAAAUGCGAUACGUAAUGUGAAUUGCAGAAUUCAGUGAAUCAUCGAAUCUUUGAACGCACAUUGCGCCCGCUAGUAUUCUGGCGGGCAUGCCUGUCCGAGCGUCAUUUCAACCCUCAAGCCCCCGGGCUUGGUGUUGGGGAUCGGCGAGCCUCCGCGCCCGCCGUCCCCUAAAUCUAGUGGCGGUCUCGCUGUAGCUUCCUCUGCGUAGUAGCACACCUCGCACUGGGAAACAGCGCGGCCACGCCGGUAAACCCCCAACUUCUGAACGUUUGACCUCGGAUCAGGUAGGAAUACCCGCUGAACUUAAGCAUAUCAAUAAGCGGAGGA